This 846-nucleotide long non-coding RNA is filed under the name Sinocyclocheilus grahami. RNAcentral's name for it is "lncRNA (ENSSGRG00000004894.1)". Lineage: Eukaryota; Metazoa; Chordata; Actinopteri; Cypriniformes; Cyprinidae. The record is from RNAcentral.
UAAAAACAACAUAUACCAAUAACCAAAUUUACAAUUUCGGCAACAGCUGUAGAAUUCCAUCUCCGUUUCCUUUUCCGUAAGCCGUUAGCGUUUGUCAAGACAUUUGAAUUACCCACGUUCAUAAUCUGUUAUUGAAAUGUAUGAAUGACACAAGAGAUUCACAGUUUUAACAACUUUCACUGUUGUUUUUUACUCUACAGAUGCCAACAGCACCCCGGAAUAUCCGACACAGCCACAGAUGCAGAAUCCAACACAAAACCUAACUACACAAGAUUCACCCACAACUUGCUUGAUCAGUGCCGUUACAGCCACAACAAUCCCCUCAACAUUCGCCAAACCACUGUCCAGCUUUACUCAGUGGUGGAUAUGGCUAGCGUCGGCAGUUGGAUGCGCAGUACUUCUUGUGUCAAUUGUUGUCAUAUGCAUCUUGACUCGCAAACCUGAAGAGAUCAUUUAUGAGAACACCAAACCAGUGGAAUCGAGCUGCUGGAGGCGAAACCGGACUAAGAUGGACAUCUGCGACCUGCCUUCGUCCAAAAAAACUGACACCAUUAAACCGCUAAGGAAGUACGACACUCUUUCAAGCAACAGAAUCCGAAGGCCAUAAGUCUUCCAUAUGAAAGAAUUACCUUCUGAAAACACAUUAAAUAUAUGAAAUACCUUACUGUACACACAUAUUUAAUUUUGUAAUGUAGCAUUUCCCGAUAGAUGGGAAGCUGUAAAUAUAAAGCUGUUUCUUUUUUCUUCAGAAAGAGAUACAUGAGAAAACCUGAUUUUUUUCCUUUAAUGACUUUCAAUUGUAUCAUACCGAAACAUUCUGUGGUUACAAAUAAACGUGAAAACCAC